AGAGUUUGAUCAUGGCUCAGAUUGAACGCUGGCGGCAGGCCUAACACAUGCAAGUCGAGCGGUAGAGAGAAGCUUGCUUCUCUUGAGAGCGGCGGACGGGUGAGUAAUGCCUAGGAAUCUGCCUGGUAGUGGGGGAUAACGUUCGGAAACGGACGCUAAUACCGCAUACGUCCUACGGGAGAAAGCAGGGGACCUUCGGGCCUUGCGCUAUCAGAUGAGCCUAGGUCGGAUUAGCUAGUUGGUGAGGUAAUGGCUCACCAAGGCGACGAUCCGUAACUGGUCUGAGAGGAUGAUCAGUCACACUGGAACUGAGACACGGUCCAGACUCCUACGGGAGGCAGCAGUGGGGAAUAUUGGACAAUGGGCGAAAGCCUGAUCCAGCCAUGCCGCGUGUGUGAAGAAGGU
Molecule: ribosomal RNA, 405 nt
Filed under: Pseudomonas sp. DJ16
Lineage: Bacteria; Pseudomonadati; Pseudomonadota; Gammaproteobacteria; Pseudomonadales; Pseudomonadaceae
Description: bacterial SSU rRNA
Rfam family: Bacterial small subunit ribosomal RNA
Source: RNAcentral